GACUUGGUCAAAGCUCCUCAGUGUGGGUACAAGUCCUGAGAAGUUCUGAACGAGUACA
Molecule: microRNA precursor, 58 nt
Filed under: Tetraodon nigroviridis (spotted green pufferfish)
Lineage: Eukaryota; Metazoa; Chordata; Actinopteri; Tetraodontiformes; Tetraodontidae
Description: Tni-Mir-7132-P1_pre stem-loop
Source: RNAcentral